Molecule: ribosomal RNA, 650 nt
Filed under: uncultured bacterium
Lineage: Bacteria
Description: bacterial SSU rRNA
Rfam family: Bacterial small subunit ribosomal RNA
Source: RNAcentral
AAGUCGAGCGGUAACAGAAAGUAGCUUGCUACUUUGCUGACGAGCGGCGGACGGGUGAGUAAUGCUUGGGAACAUGCCUUGAGGUGGGGGACAACAGUUGGAAACGACUGCUAAUACCGCAUAAUGUCUACGGACCAAAGGGGGCUUCGGCUCUCGCCUUUAGAUUGGCCCAAGUGGGAUUAGCUAGUUGGUGAGGUAAUGGCUCACCAAGGCAACGAUCCCUAGCUGGUUUGAGAGGAUGAUCAGCCACACUGGAACUGAGACACGGUCCAGACUCCUACGGGAGGCAGCAGUGGGGAAUAUUGCACAAUGGGCGAAAGCCUGAUGCAGCCAUGCCGCGUGUGUGAAGAAGGCCUUCGGGUUGUAAAGCACUUUCAGUCAGGAGGAAAGGGUGUGAGUUAAUACCUCAUAUCUGUGACGUUACUGACAGAAGAAGCACCGGCUAACUCCGUGCCAGCAGCCGCGGUAAUACGGAGGGUGCGAGCGUUAAUCGGAAUUACUGGGCGUAAAGCGUACGCAGGCGGUUUGUUAAGCGAGAUGUGAAAGCCCCGGGCUCAACCUGGGAACUGCAUUUCGAACUGGCAAACUAGAGUGUGAUAGAGGGUGGUAGAAUUUCAGGUGUAGCGGUGAAAUGCGUAGAGAUCUGAAGG